Phrynosoma platyrhinos (Desert horned lizard) is the source of this 70-nucleotide non-coding RNA. The record is from the annotation of a GenBank genome assembly. Lineage: Eukaryota; Metazoa; Chordata; Lepidosauria; Squamata; Phrynosomatidae.
GCCAGCUUGGCAUAGUGGUUUGAGUGUUGGAUUGUGACUCGGAGACCAGGGUUCGGUUCCCAGCUUGGCC